RNAcentral lists this ribosomal RNA (458 nucleotides) under uncultured bacterium. Its description in RNAcentral is "partial 16S ribosomal RNA". It matches the Rfam family "Bacterial small subunit ribosomal RNA", at positions 28 to 507 of the family's 1533-position model. The record is from RNAcentral.
GGUGAAUGCUGGCGGCGUGCUUAAGACAUGCAAGUCGAACGGGCUCUUCGGAGCCAGUGGCGCACGGGUGAGUAACGCGUAACUGACCUACCCCAAAGUCGCGGAUAACGAUUCGAAAGAAUCGCUAAUACGUGAUGUGCUGUCAGAUCCUGUUCUGCCAGUAAAGAUUUAUUGCUUUGGGAUGGGGUUGCGUUCCAUCAGCUAGUUGGUGGGGUAAAGGCCCACUAAGGCGACGACGGAUCGCCGGCCUGAGAGGGUGGCCGGCCACAGGGGCACUGAGACACGGGUCCCACUCCUACGGGAGGCAGCAGUUAGGAAUCUUCCACAAUGGGCGAAAGCCUGAUGGAGCGACGCCGCGUGAGGGAUGAAGGUCUUCGGAUCGUAAACCUCUGAAUCAGGGACGAAAGACGCGAAAGCGGGAUGACGGUACCUGAGUAAUAGCACCGGCUAACUCCGUG